Molecule: transfer RNA, 73 nt
Filed under: Nelumbo nucifera (sacred lotus)
Lineage: Eukaryota; Viridiplantae; Streptophyta; Magnoliopsida; Proteales; Nelumbonaceae
Rfam family: tRNA
About the family: Transfer RNA (tRNA) molecules are approximately 80 nucleotides in length. Their secondary structure includes four short double-helical elements and three loops (D, anti-codon, and T loops). Further hydrogen bonds mediate the characteristic L-shaped molecular structure. tRNAs have two regions of fundamental functional importance: the anti-codon, which is responsible for specific mRNA codon recognition, and the 3' end, to which the tRNAs corresponding amino acid is attached (by aminoacyl-tRNA synthetases). tRNAs cope with the degeneracy of the genetic code in two manners: having more than one tRNA (with a specific anti-codon) for a particular amino acid; and 'wobble' base-pairing, i.e. permitting non-standard base-pairing at the 3rd anti-codon position.
Source: Rfam by way of RNAcentral
GUACCCGUGACCUAAUGGAUAAAGCGUCUGAUUUCUAAUCAGGCGAUUGUGGAUUCGAGUCCCACCGGGCAUG